AAGGCCUUAAGUUAACCAAACUAAUAGCCUUCAAAGUUGUCAAUAAAGAUUAAUUUCUUUAGGCCUUA
RNAcentral lists this transfer RNA (68 nucleotides) under Sweltsa longistyla. RNAcentral describes it as "tRNA-Trp". The record is from RNAcentral. Lineage: Eukaryota; Metazoa; Arthropoda; Insecta; Plecoptera; Chloroperlidae.